AGAGUUUGAUCCUGGCUCAGGAUGAACGCUGGCGGCGUGCUUAACACAUGCAAGUCGAACGAAGCGCGCGGAAGGAAGGCCUUCGGGCCGGAGAGCCGCGGGACUGAGUGGCGGUCGGGUGAGUAACGCGUGGGCAACCUGCCCCGUACAGGGGGAUAACAGCCGGAAACGGCUGCUAAUACCGCAUAAGCGCACAGCGCCGCAUGGCGCGGUGUGAAAAGCUCCGGCGGUACGGGAGGGGCCCGCGUCUGAUUAGGCAGUUGGCGGGGUAAUGGCCCACCAAGGCGACGAUCAGUAGCCGGCCUGAGAGGGUGGACGGCCACAUUGGGACUGAGACACGGCCCAAACUCCUACGGGAGGCAGCAGUGGGGAAUAUUGCACAAUGGGGGAAACCCUGAUGCAGCGACGCCGCGUGAGUGAAGAAGUAAUUCGUUAUGUAAAGCUCUAUCAGCAGGGAAGAAAAUGACGGUACCUGAUUAAGAAGCCCCGGCUAACUACGUGCCAGCAGCCGCGGUAAUACGUAGGGGGCAAGCGUUAUCCGGAUUUACUGGGUGUAAAGGGAGCGUAGACGGCAGUGCAAGUCUGGAGUGAAAGGCGGGGGCUUAACCCCCGGACUGCUCUGGAAACUGUACAGCUGG
Molecule: ribosomal RNA, 638 nt
Filed under: uncultured bacterium
Lineage: Bacteria
Description: bacterial SSU rRNA
Rfam family: Bacterial small subunit ribosomal RNA
Source: RNAcentral